Non-coding RNA from Potamilus streckersoni, 77 nucleotides. NCBI's taxonomy places the organism in Eukaryota, Metazoa, Mollusca, Bivalvia, Unionida, Unionidae. The record is from the annotation of a GenBank genome assembly.
GCUCUGGUGGCCUAGUGGUUAGAGCAUCCGCCUCGGAUGCGGGAGGUCGUGGUUCCAAUCGAAUCAUACCAAAGACU